RNAcentral lists this transfer RNA (75 nucleotides) under Niastella koreensis. RNAcentral's name for it is "tRNA-OTHER". It matches the Rfam family "tRNA". From Rfam's summary of the family: Transfer RNA (tRNA) molecules are approximately 80 nucleotides in length. RNAcentral also lists the same sequence under 1 other name. The record is from RNAcentral. Lineage: Bacteria; Pseudomonadati; Bacteroidota; Chitinophagia; Chitinophagales; Chitinophagaceae.
AGCCCUUUAGCCCAACGGGAGAGGCGUCCCGACUUUAGUCGGGAUACGGUGUGAGUUCGAAUCUCUCAGGGGCUA